CCCUUGAAUGUGUCUGGCCUCUUCGUGGCUCAAGGGACUAGUAACUGCUCUCGCAGUGAAGCCAACAGACA
This 71-nucleotide non-coding RNA is filed under the name Moniliophthora perniciosa FA553. The record is from RNAcentral. Lineage: Eukaryota; Fungi; Basidiomycota; Agaricomycetes; Agaricales; Marasmiaceae.